AGCGAACGCUGGCGGCAGGCCUAACACAUGCAAGUCGAGCGGCCGUAGCAAUACGGCAGCGGCAGACGGGAGAGUAACACGUGGGAACGUGCCCUUUGGUUCGGAAUAACGCAGGGAAACUUGCGCUAAUACCGAAUAAGCCCUUACGGGGAAAGAUUUAUCGCCAUUGGAGCGGCCCGCGUCUGAUUAGCUAGUUGGUGGGGUAACGGCUCACCAAGGCGACGAUCAGUAGCUGGUCUGAGAGGAUGAUCAGCCUCACUGGGACUGAGACACGGCCCAGACUCCUACGGGAGGCAGCAGUGGGGAAUAUUGGACAAUGGGCGCAAGCCUGAUCCAGCCAUGCCGCGUGGAUGAUGAAGGCCUUAGGGUUGUAAAGUCCUUUUAGCGGGGAAGAUAAUGACGGUACCCGCAGAAAAGCCCCGGCUAACUUCGUGCCAGCAGCCGCA
RNAcentral lists this ribosomal RNA (446 nucleotides) under uncultured bacterium. RNAcentral's name for it is "bacterial SSU rRNA". It matches the Rfam family "Bacterial small subunit ribosomal RNA", at positions 29 to 519 of the family's 1533-position model. The record is from RNAcentral.